Molecule: long non-coding RNA, 824 nt
Organism: Raphanus sativus (radish)
Lineage: Eukaryota; Viridiplantae; Streptophyta; Magnoliopsida; Brassicales; Brassicaceae
Exons: 2
Source: RefSeq, a predicted model, not a curated record
ACAAAUGAAUAGAAAAAUAAUAGAUACAAAAAAAAACAAUUACAAAAUAUCUGAUUGGUUAAGAUAAUGGGGCCAAUCAAGUUUAAGAGAAAAAAGAUGUAGCCAAUCACAUUAAAGGGUGCAGAUCAUUGUGUAACCACAACCAUUGAUGAAAGUUAAUCUAAUGGACACAAAUGCAUAGAUGUUAGAAACAUUUUUUUUUCUUCUAUCUCCUCCUUCCUCUCUUUCUUCCACCGUGACUUUUCUCCUUCCUUUUACAGUGAAAAAAAAUCUGGAUUCUCAAUCAAUCUCUCUUUCUCUUCAUACCUUUUGCCAUCUUAUGUUAUUUCUCUCAUCAAGCAGUUCAUUGAAACUAAUUUCUCUGCUCUCUGUUUUUUUUUCAAAUCGAAUUGAUUCUCCCUACCAUGAAUUUCUCUGCUCUCUUUUUUUUUUCAGAUCGAAUUGUUCAAGUUCCCCGUCUCAGUUUCUUCCUUCUUUGACUUCAAUGAAAGCGGAGAUGGUGAAUCCUCGGAAGCUGCGUCGCAGGAGGCGCACGGAAGCUGUAGUGGGGGAGACCCUGAGGCCGGAAGCAGAGACGACGGCGUCUCCGGUCAAGGAUGGAGAAGGCCAGGCGCACUGGUUGAGGAGGCACACAUGGAAGAUGCGCACAUGGAGAAGGGCGGCUGGAGUUUUUUUUUUUUUUAGUUUCGUGUUUUUUUUUAGGGUUUUCCGAUUUAGUGUGAACCGAAUUGGAUAAACCGUUGUGGUUUACUUUAUUUUUAUUUUUUCUGGUUUAGUUUUGUAAACCGAAAUUUAUUUAUCAAUAAAUUUUAUUUUAUUUUUAA